ACUCUAGCACCGUUAACCAAAAAAAAAAAACCCGGAAGAAAACCCCAAUCUGACGAGCUGUUUUCAGAACCCUAACCCUAACAUUCAAUUCUCGUUUGGAAUUGGUUUGUGAUUAGGGAAUGGGAAAGAAGAAGAAGAGAGCGUCAGAUAAGGUUUGGUGCUAUUACUGUGAUAGGGAAUUUGAUGACGAGAAGAUAUUGGUUCAGCACCAGAAAGCCAAACACUUCAAGUGCAAUUUUUGCCAUAGGAAGCUCUCCACUGCUAGCGGCAUGGCCAUUCACGUCCUUCAGGUUCACAAAGAGACUGUCAACAAGGUACCAAAUGCCAAAGAAGGUAGAGAAUCAACAGAUAUUGAAAUAUAUGGAAUGGAAGGAAUCCCACCGGAUGUGUUAGCUGCUCACUAUGGAGAGGAAGAGGAUGAGGCCCUGGCAAAGACUGCCAAAUUAGACAUCCUAUCAUCCCAGUAUGUUGGUGGUGUGCUUCCAGGAUCAUUAGCUGCCGGUUAUCCUCCCCAGGCAACUUUCGGCACAGUACCACCACUCUACAAUCCUGCUGUUCCAAUGCGUCCUGCUGGUUGGCCAGUUCCUCCUCGCCUCCAUCCUUGGUAUCCACAGUAUCCUGCUGUCAUGUUUCCACCUCCUGCACCUAUGGGUUUGCCACAACAACCACUGUUUCCUGUGCAGAAUGUGAGGCCUCCAGUGCAAGCACCUGCACCGCCUAUACUUCAACCAUCACUACCUGUUGCUCCUCCAGGACUGCCAGUAUCUACCCCACCUGUUCCUGUGUCUCAACCAUUGUUUCCUGUGGUUCCUAACAACAAUUUUGUUCAAAGUUUGCCAAUGCUGACAGCAAAUGUGCCAUUAAGCUCACCUGCUGAAGUGAACAACUCAAUUGCCCCUAAAAUGGGAAACUGUUCUCCUUCAACCAUUGGCUAUCAGGUUCCAGCCCCAACAUUAGUAAAUUUACAUUCUUAUGCCUCUGGCCCUAAUACUGGUGGACCCUCAAUUGGACCACCUCCUGUAAUUACAAACAAAGCUCCAGCGUCAAAUGAGGUCUACUUGGUUUGGGAUGAUGAUGCUAUGUCCAUGGAGGAAAGACGAAUGUCCUUGCCAAAGUACCAGGUGCAUGAUGAGACUAGCCAGGUAAGUUAUCAUUACCUAGAACUGGUAUUCUUUCUUCUGGAUAUGGACUUGAGUUGUGCGCCUGUCGAGAGGUGUUGCAUUCCAUUUCUCAGAUUCAGUUGUUUUACUAUUCUUUCCUUGUUGUUAAGCAAGUUGUCCCCAUUCUCCUUCCUCUUGCUGAAACUAUCUAAUACUCUUUGAAGAAUACCUGAUAAUCCAAUCAAUCAUACUUUAUGUUUCGACCCCAUUAGUUCAUGGACUGUUUUAUCUUUGGCCACUCUCCGGUUGGCAAGGAAUCCCAAUAAGUGUGGUCAUCGAGAGAUUCAAGUAUGUAUUUUCAUUAUCUUUUGCUCGUAAUUAAGUAAUGAUAUUUCUGUCAAGGAGGUGAGCAUCUACUCUGAGGAACAGGAUUAUGAAUCAAGUGUAUGUAUUUGUUCUUGGAAAUUUCAUUUUGUGUCUAUAUCUUCGCCUGUGCUUGGCCUUUGAAAAGAUUUGGGUUUGGGUGAGCAAGCGUACACCUACCAGAUGCCUUGUAAAUUAUAUUGAUUAUACUAUUGACAUAUGGUCAAACAGAGGUUCAAUGUUGGCUCAGAUGACCUCAAUAGAUGCAGCAAUAGACAGAAGAAUCUCAGAAAGCAGGCUUGCUGGGAGUAUGGCUUUCUAGACAUUAGCAACAUCUAGUGCUAUAGUUUUCCUUUGAUGCAGGGUGCUCGCAACUCCAGGAAUACUACUCUUUUCAUAUCAGUUUUGGAUGUAAAAUCCUUUUAAGAGCCGUUUAUUUUUACACCCUGUAUUGGAGAAAGGAAGAUAGAAAGGGAACAUAUAUUUUUCUCUAGGGUGUGUUGGGUACAGAUCGAUCCUCUUCUCGUGUUCGAUUUGUCAAAACUUAUGAA
Molecule: RNA transcript, 2014 nt
Organism: Solanum stenotomum
Lineage: Eukaryota; Viridiplantae; Streptophyta; Magnoliopsida; Solanales; Solanaceae
Gene name: protein SUPPRESSOR OF FRI 4-like
Exons: 7
Source: RefSeq, a predicted model, not a curated record